CCUACGGGAGGCUGCAGUGAGGAAUAUUGGUCAAUGGACGAGAGUCUGAACCAGCCAAGUAGCGUGAAGGAUGACUGCCCUAUGGGUUGUAAACUUCUUUUAUAUGGGAAUAAAACGUUCCACGUGUGGGAUUUUGUAUGUACCCUAUGAAUAAGGAUCGGCUAACUCCGUGCCAGCAGCCGCGGUAAUACGGAGGAUCCGAGCGUUAUCCGGAUUUAUUGGGUUUAAAGGGAGCGUAGGUGGAUUGUUAAGUCAGUUGUGAAAGUUUGCGGCUCAACCGUAAAAUUGCAGUUGAAACUGGCAGUCUUGAGUACAGUAGAGGUGGGCGGAAUUCGUGGUGUAGCGGUGAAAUGCUUAGAUAUCACGAAGAACUCCGAUUGCGAAGGCAGUUCACUGGACUGCAACUGACACUGAGGCUCGAAAGUGUGGGUAUCAAACAGGAUUAGAUACCCUAGUAGUC
This 460-nucleotide ribosomal RNA is filed under the name uncultured bacterium. Its description in RNAcentral is "partial 16S ribosomal RNA". It matches the Rfam family "Bacterial small subunit ribosomal RNA", at positions 338 to 795 of the family's 1533-position model. The record is from RNAcentral.